GAUCAAGUUAGUAAGGGCAUACGGUGAAUGCCUUGGCGCUAGGAGUCGAUGAAGGACGUGGUAAGCUGCGAUAAGCUUCGGGGAGGUGCAAGCAACCUUCGAUCCGGAGAUUUCCGAAUGGGGAAACCCGGCUGGGGUAAUGCCCAGUCACUCCUACCUGAACACAUAGGGUAGGUAGAGACAACCCAGGGAACUGAAACAUCUAAGUACCUGGAGGAAUAGAAAGUAAAUAACGAUUCCCUUAGUAGCGGCGAGCGAACGGGGAUCAGCCCAAACCGUCUAAAUGUUAAAGCGGCAGGCGUUGCUUAGACGGGGUUAUAGGAGUUACCGGGUUGUGCUGCCCACAACCAGAGAGUUACAAAACUUAAGUCUAGUCGAAUGAUCCUGGAAAGGACAGCUAUAAGAGGUAAAAGCCCUGUAGACGAAAGGCUUAGGACUCUCAGUAACCACCUGAGUACCGCGGGACACGAGAAAUCUUGCGGGAAGUAGCGAGGACCACCUCGUAAGGCUAAAUACUCCCUAGCGACCGAUAGUGAACUAGUACCGUGAGGGAAAGGUGAAAAGUACCCCGGGAGGGGAGUGAAAUAGUACCUGAAACCGUAUGCUUACAAGCAGUCGGAGGAAAAUCUUCGGAUUUUCUGACGGCGUGCCUUUUGUAGAAUGAUCCAGCGAGUUACGAUGUGUAGCGAGGUUAAGCGGAAGCGGAGCCGUAGCGAAAGCGAGUCUUUAAACGGGCGUUUAGUUGCAUGUUGUAGACCCGAAUCUGCGUGAUCUAUCCAUGGCCAGGUUGAAGCGAGGGUAAGACCUCGUGAAGGACCGAACCGACUUCGGUUGAAAACGGAGCGGAUGAGCUGUGGAUCGGAGUGAAAGGCUAAUCAAACGCAGUUAUAGCUGGUUCUCCCCGAAAUAGCUUUAGGGCUAGCCUCGGAUGUUUUGUUGUGGUGGUAGAGCACUGAUUGGACUAGGGGCCUCACCAGGUUACCAAACCCAGUCAAACUCCGAAUGCCAUAACUUUAGAGUCCGGGAGUCAGACAGUGGGGGAUAAGCUUCAUUGUCGAGAGGGAAACAGCCCAGAUCGUCAGCUAAGGUCCCUAAAUUCAUGCUAAGUGGCAAAGGAUGUGACGUUGCAUAGACAACCAGGAUGUUGGCUUAGAAGCAGCCAUCAUUUAAAAAGUGCGUAAUAGCUUACUGGUCAAGUGGUGCUGCGCCGAAAAUUUAACGGGGCUCAAGCAUGGUACCGAAGCUACGACAUUCUCUGGCGUUACCUAUCAGAAUACUGCACGGCGGUUGAUUUAAGUACGCGUAAAGCGGCGCUUUAGGCGGCGAAAAUCAUCGCGAGGCGGGUGUGUGUCCCAACAGGGACGAGCGGAAUCCUAUUUUGGAUAAAGACAUGCCGCGUGUAGUGUAGUAAGCCGAUAGGUAAUGCCAGGGGAUGGGUAGGGGAGCAUUGUCUGCGGGUUGAAGUCGGUCUGUAAGGACCGGUGGACUGCAGACAAGAGAGAAUGCUGGAAUGAGUAGCGAGAGUCAGGCGAGAAACCUGACCGCCGUAAACCCAAGGUUUCCAGGGUAAAGCUAAUCUGCCCUGGGUUAGUCGGGACCUAAGGCGAGGCCGAAAGGCGUAGUCGAUGGAGAACAGGUAGAUAUUCCUGUACCACCAAAGUUGCGUUAUCAGCGAUGGGGUGACGGAGAAAGGUAGCUCAGCACGGCGAUGGUCGUCCGUGUUUAAGCCCGUAGGGUGUCUUCUAGGAAAAUCCGGAAGGCGUAUAGCCUGAGAGGUGAUGACGAGUCGAUUGAGACGAAGUGAGUGAUCCUAUGCUUCCAAGAAAAACCUCUAGUGAGCGGCUUAGGUGCCCGUACCCCAAACCGACACAGGUGGGUGAGUAGAGAAUACUAAGGCGAUCGAGAGAACUCUGGUUAAGGAACUCGGCAAAAUUGCCCCGUAACUUCGGGAGAAGGGGCGCCACAUUAGCGUGUAAGGUUUUCCCCCAAGCGUGAAGUGGCUGCAAUAAAAUGGCCCAGGCGACUGUUUACUAAAAACACAGGUCUCUGCUAAGUCGUAAGACGAUGUAUAGGGGCUGACGCCUGCCCGGUGCCGGAAGGUUACGAGGAGGGGUUAGCAAAGUUUUCGGACGAUGCGAAGCUCUGAAUCUAAGCCCCGGUAAACGGCGGCCGUAACUAUAACGGUCCUAAGGUAGAUUUGCUGCCCCCCGCAUUGGCAACAAUGCGGUGUGCAUCUGGCUAUAUGCUGGGAAAGCUGUCCCCUAAAAGGGGUGUAGAAUCCCACACUACCUUUCCAAUAACGAACACAUGUUCUAUAAUAUAGGGCAAGUGCUAUGCGGAGGGGUGACAAUGUGAUGGGUGCAGAGAAUCAGCAGGAAAGGCUUAUUGGGCUUGGAUGGGUUAUUGGUUUUGUAGACGGAGAAGGGUGCUUCUCAAUAGGAUUCAUAAGGCAGCAAGACCGGAUGAAUCGAAAAGGCUACAAAACCGGCUAUCAGGUGAGUCAUGAGUUUGCGGUAACGCAAGGUGCGAAGAGCAUAGAAGUGUUACAUGAACUCAAGAAAUUCUUUAAGGUUGGCCAGGUCGUCAUAAAUAGACGGCAUGAUAAUCACAAAGAACACCUGCAUCGCUACGUUGUGCGUAGUAGAAAAGAUUUGCUGGAGGUAAUAAUUCCGUUUUUUGAAAGAAACAGAAUGAGAACCUCGAAGCAGCAAGACUUUGAAAAAUUUGCGCAGUGCGUAGGAAUGGUUAAUAAGGGAUAUCAUCUGUCCUAUGAAGGAUUGAUAAGUAUCGCUAAAAUUACCGAAACGAUGAAUCGCCAAAAGCCUAGACAUGAACUAAUAAGAAUCCUCAGAGACCAUACGCCGGAUAUCCCAGACAUGGGAUAAUGAUAUGGUCCCGUCUGCAUGGCGACAUGCAGGGAUAACCUUGGAAAAGUUAUCCACUCAGUAUAAAACUGAGCAAGAUUCAAGCGAAAUUCCUUGUCGGGUAAGUUCCGACCCGCACGAAAGGCGUAACGAUCUGGGCGCUGUCUCAACCAGAGACUCGGCGAAAUUGUAUUACCGGUAAAGAUGCCGGUUUCCUGCAGCAAGACGGAAAGACCCCGUGAACCUUUACUGCAGCUUGACAUUGGAUUCUGGUCCACCAUGUACAGGAUAGGUGGGAGGCUUUGAAGCUGGGGCGCAAGCCCUGGUGGAGCCAAUCUUGGGAUACCACCCUUGAUGUACUGGGGUUCUAACGACAGACCGUGAUCCGGCUGUCGGACAGUGUCAGGUGGGCAGUUUGACUGGGGCGGUCGCCUCCUAAAAUGUAACGGAGGCGCUCGAAGGUUCCCUCAGAUUGGUUGGCAAUCAAUCGCAGAGUGUAAGGGCACAAGGGAGCUUGACUGCGAGACGUACAUGUCGAGCAGGUACGAAAGUAGGACCUAGUGAUCCGGCGGUUCCGAGUGGAAGGGCCGUCGCUCAACGGAUAAAAGGUACUCCGGGGAUAACAGGCUGAUCCCGCCCAAGAGUCCAUAUCGACGGCGGGGUUUGGCACCUCGAUGUCGGCUCAUCGCAUCCUGGGGCUGAAGCAGGUCCCAAGGGUUCGUCUGUUCGCCGAUUAAAGCGGUACGCGAGCUGGGUUUAGAACGUCGUGAGACAGUUCGGUCCCUAUCUGCUGUAGGCGUAGGAAAUUUGAGGGGAGUCGUCCCUAGUACGAGAGGACCGGGAUGAACAGACCUCUAGUGUACCAGUUGUUCUGCCAAGAGCAUCGCUGGGUAGCUAUGUCUGGACUGGAUAACCGCUGAAAGCAUCUAAGCGGGAAGCCAACCCCGAGAUGAGAUUUCCCACUCUUAUGAGUUAAGACCCCAGGUAGACUACCUGGUUGAUAGGCCGCAGGUGGAAGGGCAGCAAUGUUCGGAGCCGAGCGGUACUAAUUGGUCGAGGACUUGGUCGU
Molecule: ribosomal RNA, 3933 nt
Filed under: Actinomycetota bacterium
Lineage: Bacteria; Bacillati; Actinomycetota
Description: 23S ribosomal RNA
Rfam family: Bacterial large subunit ribosomal RNA
Source: RNAcentral